This 253-nucleotide ribosomal RNA is filed under the name uncultured bacterium. RNAcentral's name for it is "partial 16S ribosomal RNA". It matches the Rfam family "Bacterial small subunit ribosomal RNA", at positions 524 to 776 of the family's 1533-position model. The record is from RNAcentral.
UACGUAGGGCGCAAGCGUUGUCCGGAAUUAUUGGGCGUAAAGAGCUCGUAGGCGGCCUGUCGCGUCCGCUGUGAAAUCCCGGGGCUUAACCCCGGGCGUGCAGUGGAUACGGGCUGGCUAGAGGCAGGCAGGGGAGAACGGAAUUCCCGGUGUAGCGGUGAAAUGCGCAGAUAUCAGGAAGAACACCCGUGGCGAAGGCGGUUCUCUGGGACGGUACUGACGCUGAGACGCGAAAGCGUGGGGAGCGAACAGG